CCCAGACUCCUACGGGAGGCAGCAGUGGGGAAUAUUGCACAAUGGGGGAAACCCUGAUGCAGCGACGCCGCGUGAGCGAAGAAGUAUUUCGGUAUGUAAAGCUCCAUCAGCAGGGAAGAAAAAAAUGACGGUACCUGAGUAAGAAGCACCGGCUAAAUACGUGCCAGCAGCCGCGGUAAUACGUAUGGUGCAAGCGUUAUCCGGAUUUACUGGGUGUAAAGGGAGCGUAGGCGGCGCGUUAAGUCUGAUGUGAAAACCCGAGGCUCAACCACGGGAGUGCAUUGGAAACUGGCGGGCUGGAGUGCCGGAGAGGUAAGCGGAAUUCCUAGUGUAGCGGUGAAAUGCGUAGAUAUUAGGAGGAACACCAGUGGCGAAGGCGGCUUACUGGACGGCAACUGACGCUGAGGCUCGAAAGCGUGGGGAUCGAACAGGAUUAGAUACCCGAGUAC
RNAcentral lists this ribosomal RNA (449 nucleotides) under uncultured bacterium. Its description in RNAcentral is "bacterial SSU rRNA". It matches the Rfam family "Bacterial small subunit ribosomal RNA", at positions 330 to 793 of the family's 1533-position model. The record is from RNAcentral.